Molecule: long non-coding RNA, 6999 nt
Filed under: Homo sapiens (human)
Lineage: Eukaryota; Metazoa; Chordata; Mammalia; Primates; Hominidae
Description: HSALNT0311737
Source: RNAcentral
CCUCUCCUACCCAGAUACCGAUGUUAUACUGAUGUGUUUUUCCAUCGACAGCCCUGAUAGUUUAGGUGAGUGGCCCUGCACCCUGAUAUUUGUCACUGCCUGUGUAGCUAGUUGGCAUCUGGUUUCUGGGCAUCAAGUGGCUGAAAAGCAGACAUGAACUUCAGAGAAGCAAUCAUCGUCAGUGGCCGGAGUCCUGGAGUUUGGGAUUGUAGAGCGUGGGCCUUGGGUCCCUUUCAGCCUAGGUCUCCCAUGGGUACUGUAUUUAAAAUGUAUCCACCUAGGCAGGGCACGGUGCCUGACACCUAUAAUCCCUGCGCUUUGGGAGGUCCAGACGGGUGGAUCACCUGAGGGUCAGGAGUUCAAGACCAGCCUGGCCAACAUGGUGAAACCCCGUCUUUACUAAAAGUACAAAAAAAUUAGCCAGGCAUGGUGGUGCACGCCUGUAGUCCCAGGUACUUGGGAGGCUGAGGCAGGAGAAUCGUUUGAACCUGGUAGGUGGAGAUUGCAGUGAGCCGAGAUUAUGGCACUGCAUUCCAGACUGAGCAACAGAGCAAGACUCUAUCUCAAAAAUAAUAAUUAUUAUUAUUAUUACUAAAUAAUAUUAAAUGUUAUUUAAAAAUCUAACUGCCUUGUAAACUAGAUGAAUUCCAGAUACAAAGAUGAGUAAACUAAGGCUGGUGCGGCGGCUGACACCUGUAAUCCUAGCACUUUGGGAGGCCGAGGCUGGCAGAUCACCUGAGGUCAGGAGUUUGAGACCAGCCUAGGCAACAUGGUGAACCCCUUGUCUCUACUAAAAUACAAAAAUUAGCUGGGUGUGGUGGCGUGCACUUGUAAUCCCAGCUAUUCCAGGGGCUGAGGCAGGAGAAUCACUUGAGCCUGGGAAGCAGAAGUUGCAGUGAGCCAAGAUCAUGCCACUGUACUGCAGACUCCAUCUCCCAAAAAAAAAGAUGAGCAAACUAGAUGAGUUCCAAAUGUAAAGCCAUCUCUUUUGGGGAAAGACUUUCUUUUUUUUGGUUGCCCUGUCUUAGCCUUUUUCUGAAGUGUCUUAGCUGAUAGAAGCUUGAAUGUGAUCAUUUCAUUAGCCUAAACACAGCCACAUAAUUCAGAAGUCAGUAAGUCAGUAUUCUUUUUUUUUUUUUUUUUUUUUUUUGAGAGGGAGUCUUGCUCUGUCUCCCAGGCUGGAUUGCAGCAGCUUGAUCUCAGCUCACUGCAAGCUCUGCCUCCUGGGUUGAUGCCAUUCUCCUGCCUCAGCCACCCAAGUAGCUGGGACUACAGGUGGCCACCACCACGCCCGGCUAAUUUUUUGUAUUUUUUAGUAGAGAUGGGAUUUCACCACGUUAGCCAGGAUGAUCUUGAUCUCCUGACCUCGUGAUCCGCCUGCCUCGGCCUCCCAAAGUGCUGGGAUUACAGGCGUGAGCCACUGCGCCUGGCCCAGAAGUCAGUAUUCUUUAGAAAAAGACUGAAGAAUGCUAACCUGACAUUCUGUGAAACCAGGCUUGAAAAAACUUGCUUUAGGUUUGUGCUGAAGAUGAUGAGGUAUCUAUUAAUAAACUUGUGCUGCAGCCCUCCCUGUCAUGACAGGGCAGCAGGUGGGUCAAGGAUGUUGUCGUCAUUACCACAAACAGCCUUUGAGGGUCUGCUUGUGGCCUCGGGUUGCCUGGAUAGUUAGUGUUAGAGUGAUUGUGUUGUUAUGGUUGUCCCUACCUUAAUGAUGAUAACUGGGGUUGCUCCAAGAUAUUGAGCCACUUGUUUAAGGUCAUGCUGGCCCAAGGAGCUGAGCUAAGAUUGAGUCCUCUGUGCAGUAUGUCCCAGGACAGAGAAAGAGCACGUAUUCCAUGCCGUUGGUUCACUUAGAUCAUUUUCAGCAGUUAUGAUUGAUUGAUUGAUUUAGAGGCGGGGUCUCGCUCUGUUGCCCAGGCUGGAGUUGUAGUGAGCUGAGAUUGCGCCACUGCGCUCCAGCCUGGGCGACAGAGCAAGAGUCCAUCUAAAAAAAAAAAAAAAAAACUUCUGUUCUAGAUGAGGGAAGACAGAAUAGGCUCCCCUCAAUGCCCCCAAAAAAGUAAAUCAGAAAAUAACAACAGUAAACCCAGUAACAGUAAAUAUUACAAAUAACAUUUGUAGAGGUGGGUCAUGGUUGUAUGCUGUUUUGUUUUAUUUAUUUUUAUUUUUGUUUUUUUGAGACAGACUUUUGCUCUUGUCACGCAGGCUGGAGUGCAAUGGUGCGAUCUCAGCUCACUGCACUCCGCCUCCCGGGUUCAAGCACUUCUUCUGCCUCAGCCUCCCAAGUAGCUGGGAUUACAGGCAUGCACCACCAUGCCUGACUAAUUUUUGUAUUAUUAGUAGAGACAGGGUUUCAACAUGUUGGCCAGACUGGUCUCAAACUCCUGAUCCACCUGCCUCGGCCUCCCAAAGUGCUGAGAUUACAGGCCUGAUGAGCCACUGCACCUGGUCUAUUUAUUUUUAUUUAUUUAUUUAUUUAUUUAUUUUGAGACGGAGUCUCGCUCUGUCGCCCAGGCUGGAGGGCAGUGGCACGAUCUUGGCUCACUGCAACCUCCACCUCCCUGGUUCAAGGAAUUUCCCUGCCUCAGCCUCCCUAGUAGCUGGGAUUACAGGUGUGCACCACCAUGCCCAGUUAAUUUUUUUGUUUUGUUUUGUUGUUUUUGAGACGGAGUUUCGCUCUUGUUGCCCAGGCUGGAGUGCAAUGGCACGAUCUCGGCUCACUGCAACUUCCGCCUCCCGGGUUCAAGCGAUUCUCCAGCCUCAGCCUCUCAAGUAGCUGGGAUUGCAGGCAUGUGCCACCACGCCCAGCUAAUUUUGUAUUUUUAGUAGAGACGGGGUUUCUCCAUGUUGGUUAUGCUGGUCUCCCAACUCCCGACCUGAGGUGAUCCACCCGCCCCGGCCUUCACAGUGCUGGGAUUAUAGGCAUGAACCACUGCGCCUGGCAAUCUUUUUGUAUUUUUAAUAGAGAUGGGGUUUCACCAUGUUGGCCAGACUGGUCUCGAACUCCUGACCUAACGCGAUCCACCUGCCUCAGCCUCUCAAAGUUUUGGGAUUAUAGACGUGAGCCACUGCGCCCAGCCUAUUUAUUUGUUUUUAAGAGAUGAAGUCUCACUUUGUCACCCUGGCUGGAGUGCAGUAGUAGCGUGAUCAUAGCUCACUGCUACCUUGAAUCCUGGACUCCAGUGAUCCUCCCACCUCAGCCUCUCAAGUAGGUGGGAAUGCAGGCACAUGUACCACUGUAAACUGCUAAGUUUUUGUAUGUUUUUGUGGAGAUGGGGUUUUUGACUUUUUUGAUACAGAGUCUCACUCUGUUGCCCAGGCUGGAGUGAGUGUAGUAUUGCGAUCUCGACUCAUCACAACCUCCACCUCCUGGGUUCAAGUGUUUCUUCUGCCUCAGCCUCCCAAGUAGCUGGGACUAUAGGUGCACACCACUGCGCCCGGCUAAUUUUAGUAAUUUUAGUAGAGAUGAGGUUUCGCCAUGUUGGCCAGGCUGGUCUCGAACUCCUGACCUCUGGUGAUCCACCCACCUAAGCCUCCCAAAGUGCUGGGAUUACAGGCACGAGCCACCACGCUGUCUGGAGAUGGGGUUUAGCCAUGUUGCAUAGGCUGUUCUUGAGCUCCUAGGCCCAAGCUGUCUACUUGCCUUAGCCUCUCAAAAGUGCUGGAAUUACAAGUAUGAGUCACCACGCCCAGCCUCUUUUGGUUAUUUUCAAAAGUCACUUUUUUUUAUUUGAGACGGAGUCUUGCUCUGUCGCCCAGGAGUGCAGUGGCGCGAUCUCAGCUCAUGGCAAGCUCUGCCUCCCGGGUUCACACCAUUCUCCUGCCUCAGCCUCCUGAAUAGCUGGGACUACAGGUGCCCACCACUACACCCGGCUAAUUUUUUUUGUAUUUUUAGUAGAGACGGGGUUUCACUGUGUUAGCCAGGAUGGUCUCGAUCUCCUGACCUCAUGAUCCGCCCACCUUGGCCUCCCAAAGUGCUGGGAUUACAGGCAUGAGCCACCGCUCCCGGCCAAAAGUCACUCUUCAGCCAUUUGAAAUACCAGUAAACCCCAUAGGGUAGAAGUUAUGCUGAGAGUUGAUGAACAAGUUAGAAAAAGAACAUGUGGACCCUGGGUCAGCUGCUGCCCUAGAAUGGGGACCCCUUCUGUAAGCUAUGUCAGAAUCAUCUACCAGCAGUGACAGAUGUCCUGUAAAGUGCCUGCCUUUGUGGGGCAGGAAGUGCCCCCCGUGAAACUACCUUGUGUUGUGGAUCUUUUGCUCCUCCAGAGCCCUUACUCGGGCCCCACCUACAGAGAUGCUCAGCACCACUCUUGGCUGGACUGAGAAAAAGCUGUUGGUUCUCUGUUUAAAGGAAAGGGAUUAUAUUUCCUUUUUAUGGUUUUGAAACUAGUGAGUUUCAUUAAAUGUCUAGCAUUUUUCUGAAGCCACAAAGAAAGUGUCUCUGCAAUUUCACUGAGGUUCUUGGAAAGUCUUCAAGAUAGAAUUGUAUGUAUCCCCAAAUUCUCUACAUUUUUCUUUCAGAAAACAUCCCAGAAAAGUGGACCCCAGAAGUCAAGCAUUUCUGUCCCAACGUGCCCAUCAUCCUGGUUGGGAAUAAGAAGGAUCUUCGGAAUGAUGAGCACACAAGGCGGGAGCUAGCCAAGAUGAAGCAGGCAUGAUCUGGGGCAGGACUGUCUUGUAGUAUUCUUGAACUAGGGCCCCAAGUUUGGAGGUUUGGGGAGCCCAGCAGGAACCUUCACAGGCCAGGUUGUUUUAGAGGCUCAGAAGCCCCUCUGUGGCCCUCUGACCCUCAUUAAUUGGGAUCUUCACAGAAGAUCCCUAAGAUAGUUCACCAGUCCUGUGAGAUGGAAUGUUUUUUUAUGAGGUAGUGCUAUGCCCAUAAGGACUGCUGGCCUGAGAAUGAACCAUUUCAUUAGUAGCUAGUAAUCAGUGGCUCUAGAUGUAGGAACUUUCUUUUUUUUGAUAUGGAGUCUCAUUCUGUCACCCAGGCUGGAGUGCAGUGGCGCAAUCUCAGCUCACUGCAACCUCCGCCUCCGGGGUUCAAGCGAUUCUUCUGCCUCAGACUCCCGAGUAGCUGGGACUACAGGCACCCUCCACCAUGACCGGCUAAUUUUUUUUUUUUUUAAUAGAUGGGGUUUCACCCUGUUGGCCAGGCUGGUCUUGAACUCCUUACCUCAAGUGAUCUGCCCACUUUUGCCUCCCAAAGUGCAGGGAUUACAGGUGUGAGCCACUGUGCCUGGCCUCUGUUAGACUCUUUAUUUUUAUUUUUUGAGACACAGUUUUGCUUUUGUCACCCAGGCUGGAAUGCAGUGAUGCUAUCUCGGCUGCAACCUCAGCCUCCAAGGUUUAAGUGAUUCUCCUGCCUCAGCCUCCCAAGUUGCUGGGAUUACAGGCAUGUGCCACCACGCCUGGCUAAUUUUUGUAUUUUUAGUAGAGACGGGUUUUCUCCAUGUUGGUCAGGCUGGUCUCAAACUCCUGACCUUAGGUGAUCUGCCCGCCUUGGCCUCCCAAAGUGCUGGGAUUACAGGUGUGAGCCACCACGCCCGGGCCUGUUAGACUCUUGAUUGCCUUCCCCAGCUAUUACUUUGGUACAUGUGAGGCCAAAGAUAAAUUAGUGGCAACUGAAAGAUAAGGAAAUCUUGAAGGCUGGGAGUCCAGAUAGAAAGCCCUAAUGCCUUCCCUCUCCUCCACUCCCAAUGCCUUUUUAAAAGUGAUGAUGGAUGUGGCAUCUUGGCCUCUCAGAAACCAGCUGGCCUAAUGGCAGGGCUUCCUCACUGGAGGAGAAGCAUUGAGAUCUUCAACCUAAGUUCUCUUACUCAGGUUUCUCUGUCUGAAUGUCAAGGGUAGGCUUUAUUUCCUUCAGGGCAUUUAGUCCUGGAUUGGUAGCUUGAGUAAUUUUGCUCUUGAUUGACUCCUUAACCUUCCAGGGCUCCUCUGACCUCUUCCCUCUACUUCCCAGUGAAUACCAUGUUUAUUAGAGAUUUUAUGUUUGGUAGGGGGUAGUUACCAUAUGUCAGUUUAAAAAUUUCAUAAGUUUAGCAGUUUGUUGUUUUUUUUUUUUGUUUUGUUUUUUUUGAGAAGGAGCCUCACUGUGUCGCCAGGCUGGAGUGCUGUGGCACGAUCUUGGCUCAACUGCAACCUCCGCCUCCCAGAUUUAAGCGAUUCCCCUGCCUCAGCCUCCUGAGUAGCUGGGGUUACAGGCGCCCACUACCACACCCAGGUGAUUUUUUGUAUUUUAGUAAAGAGGGGUUUCACCAUGUUGGCCAGGAUGGUCUUGAUCUCCUAAACUCGUGAUCCGCCCAGCUCAGCCUCCCAAAGUGCUGGGAUUACAGGUGUGAGCCACCACACCCAGCCAAGUUUAACAGCUUUUGAAAGUCUUUUUUUUUUUUAGGCUGGGUACAGUGGCUCAUGCCUGUAUCCCAGCACUUUGGGAGGCCGAGGUGGGCAGAUCACUUGGUCAGGAGUUCGAGACCAGCCUGGCCAAAAUGGUGAAACCCCAUCUCUACUAAAAAAUUACUUGGGCGUGGUGGUGGGCACCUGUAGUCCCAGCUACUCGGGAGGCUGAGGCGGGAGAAUCCCUUGAACCCAGGAGGUGGAGGUUGCAGUCAGCUGAGAUCAUGCCAUUGCCCUCCAGCCUGGGCGACCGACGAGCAAAACUGUCUCAAAAAAAGAAAAAAAAAUCUUUUAGAUGAAUUUGAAUACUUUUUACUUACUAUAUGUAUGCCACACUAUUAGCUAAAAGGACUAUUUUUUUUUCUUUGCUAGGAGCCGGUGAAACCUGAAGAAGGCAGAGAUAUGGCAAACAGGAUUGGCGCUUUUGGGUACAUGGAGUGUUCAGCAAAGACCAAAGAUGGAGUGAGAGAGGUUUUUGAAAUGGCUACGAGAGCUGCUCUGCAAGCUAGACGUGGGAAGAAAAAAUCUGGGUGCCUUGUCUUGUGAAACCUUGCUGCAAGCACAGCCCUUAUGCGGUUAAUUUUGAAGUGCUGUUUAUUAAUCUUA